RNAcentral lists this ribosomal RNA (462 nucleotides) under uncultured bacterium. RNAcentral describes it as "partial 16S ribosomal RNA". It matches the Rfam family "Bacterial small subunit ribosomal RNA", at positions 28 to 507 of the family's 1533-position model. The record is from RNAcentral.
GAUGAACGCUGACAGAAUGCUUAACACAUGCAAGUCAUUGGCGAAGCUGCGCUUGCGCAGUCUAGCCAAGGCGGACGGGUGAGUAACGCGUAAGGAACUUGCCCUGCAGACAGGGAUAACAGACGGAAACGACUGAUAACACCUGGUAUUGUCAGGCUGGCGCAUGCCGGCCUGAUGAAAGGAGACGCUGCAGGAGAGCCUUGCGUCCUAUUAGCUAGUUGGUGGGGUAACGGCCCACCAAGGCGAUGAUAGGUAGCCGGCCUGAGAGGGUGAACGGCCACAAGGGGACUGAGAUACGGCCCUUACUCCUACGGAAGGCAGCAGUGGGGAAUAUUGGACAAUGGGGGCAACCCUGAUCCAGCAAUUCUGUGUGCACGAAGAAGGUUUUCGGAUUGUAAAGUGCUUUCAGCAGGGAAGAAGAAAGUGACGGUACCUGCAGAAGAAGCGACGGCUAAAUACGUG